Molecule: small RNA, 497 nt
Filed under: Arabidopsis thaliana (thale cress)
Lineage: Eukaryota; Viridiplantae; Streptophyta; Magnoliopsida; Brassicales; Brassicaceae
Description: putative long intergenic non-coding RNA
Source: RNAcentral
UAACUACAAUUGAUAAAGCAAUUAACUUCAGUGUGAGGGUUACAAGUGGUAUUUGCAACGAUAAUCUGAAGAGACAAGGAAAGGAGCCACCUUCGCCGCCGGAAUUGAUAAGGUCUGCCAAAGACGAAGAUCUGGAGUUGUGGCUGUUGAAAUGGCAACACUUGUUGAAGACGACAAAACGUGUCACGCAUGAUCUUGUUGAUGAUACUAACUAGGGCUCUGCUCCUGCAUCAUCAAGAAUCCGGAGGCGUUCGCGUCUGCGUUCAUAACAGCCGCGAUGAGGUCAUAUGAGGAUCCAGACGACACAAGUCACGUUGUCGAUGUUCUUUGGGUCGGGGAACUCAUUUGGGAUAUAAUAACCAAUUAACCAUGUUGCAAGUUUUUUUUUUUUUUUUUGUAUGUAGGAUAAGUUAUGAGUCGCACUUUCUCGAGCCAACGCGCACAGAGCGCUCUCUGUCUGUGAUGUCAUCUACUAAUAUAUAUCUUUUUCACCUUUU